RNAcentral lists this ribosomal RNA (484 nucleotides) under uncultured bacterium. Its description in RNAcentral is "partial 16S ribosomal RNA". It matches the Rfam family "Bacterial small subunit ribosomal RNA", at positions 30 to 507 of the family's 1533-position model. The record is from RNAcentral.
ACUGAACGCUGGCGGCAGGCCUAACACAUGCAAGUCGAGCGGAUGAAGGGAGCUUGCUCCUGGAUUCAGCGGCGGACGGGUGAGUAAUGCCUAGGAAUCUGCCUGGUAGUGGGGGAUAACGUCCGGAAACGGUCGCUAAUACCGCAUACGUCCUGAGGGAGAAAGUGGGGGAUCUUCGGACCUCACGCUAUCAGAUGAGCCUAGGUCGGAUUAGCUAGUUGGUGGGGUAAAGGCCUACCAAGGCGACGAUCCGUAACUGGUCUGAGAGGAUGAUCAGUCACACUGGAACUGAGACACGGUCCAGACUCCUACGGGAGGCAGCAGUGGGGAAUAUUGGACAAUGGGCGAAAGCCUGAUCCAGCCAUGCCGCGUGUGUGAAGAAGGUCUUCGGAUUGUAAAGCACUUUAAGUUGGGAGGAAGGGCAGUAAGUUAAUACCUUGUUGUUUUGACGUUACCAACAGAAUAAGCACCGGCUAACUUCGUG